AAUCAACGCUGGCGGCGUGCCUAACACAUGCAAGUCGAGCGAGAAAAGGGGGGCAACUCCCUGAGUACAGCGGCGCACGGGUGAGUAACACGUGGGUAAUCUGCCCUGGAGUGGGGAAUAACACCGGGAAACCGGUGCUAAUACCGCAUACGAUCACGAGGUCUGCGGAUUUUGUGAUGAAAGGAGCAAUUCGCUCCAGGAGGAGCCCGCGGCUGAUUAGCUAGUUGGUGAGGUAAUGGCUCACCAAGGCUACGAUCAGUAUCCGGUCUGAGAGGACGGUCGGACACACUGGAACUGAGACACGGUCCAGACUCCUACGGGAGGCAGCAGUGGGGAAUUUUUGGCAAUGGGGGCAACCCUGACCAAGCAACGCCGCGUGGGUGAUGAAGUCUCUUGGGACGUAAAACCCUUUCGACGGGGAAGAAACCGCAAGGUUGACGGUACCCGUAGAAGAAGCCCCGGCUAACUCCGUGC
RNAcentral lists this ribosomal RNA (474 nucleotides) under uncultured bacterium. Its description in RNAcentral is "bacterial SSU rRNA". It matches the Rfam family "Bacterial small subunit ribosomal RNA", at positions 32 to 508 of the family's 1533-position model. The record is from RNAcentral.